This 497-nucleotide ribosomal RNA is filed under the name uncultured bacterium. Its description in RNAcentral is "partial 16S ribosomal RNA". It matches the Rfam family "Bacterial small subunit ribosomal RNA", at positions 28 to 507 of the family's 1533-position model. The record is from RNAcentral.
GAUGAACGCUGGCGGCGUGCCUAAUACAUGCAAGUCGAGCGAACGGACGAGAAGCUUGCUUCUCUGAUGUUAGCGGCGGACGGGUGAGUAACACGUGGAUAACCUACCUAUAAGACUGGGAUAACUUCGGGAAACCGGAGCUAAUACCGGAUGAUAUUUUGAACCGCAUGGUUCAAAAGUGAAAGACGGUUUUGCUGUCACUUAUAGAUGGAUCCGCGCUGCAUUAGCUAGUUGGUAAGGUAACGGCUUACCAAGGCAACGAUGCGUAGCCGACCUGAGAGGGUGAUCGGCCACACGGGAACUGAGACACGGUCCAGACUCCUACGGGAGGCAGCAGUAGGGAAUCUUCCGCAAUGGGCGAAAGCCUGACGGAGCAACGCCGCGUGAGUGAUGAAGGUCUUCGGAUCGUAAAACUCUGUUAUUAGGGAAGAACAUAUGUGUAAGUAACUGUGCACGUCUUGACGGUACCUAAUCAGAAAGCCACGGCUAACUACGUG